Pecten maximus is the source of this 180-nucleotide long non-coding RNA. RefSeq lists it as uncharacterized. NCBI's taxonomy places the organism in Eukaryota, Metazoa, Mollusca, Bivalvia, Pectinida, Pectinidae. The transcript is spliced from 2 exons. The record is from RefSeq and is a predicted model, not a curated record.
UUCCACUACAUCUGGUGAGCAUGGUUUGAAGGUUGCCGGAGUUAUGGCAAACAACAGAGUGAUUCAAUGGAACACAUUUUCUAGAAUUUGGUGGUUAUAUGAUGCUAAUCACCAGUGUGUGUUCAAGUCAGCGAGGGAAAUCGCGAAAUACCUCCAGGGUCAUCACAAACCCAUCUACCA